Molecule: ribosomal RNA, 459 nt
Filed under: Pseudomonas aeruginosa
Lineage: Bacteria; Pseudomonadati; Pseudomonadota; Gammaproteobacteria; Pseudomonadales; Pseudomonadaceae
Description: bacterial SSU rRNA
Rfam family: Bacterial small subunit ribosomal RNA
Source: RNAcentral
UGCAGUCGAGCGGAUGAAGGGAGCUUGCUCCUGGAUUCAGCGGCGGACGGGUGAGUAAUGCCUAGGAAUCUGCCUGGUAGUGGGGGAUAACGUCCGGAAACGGGCGCUAAUACCGCAUACGUCCUGAGGGAGAAAGUGGGGGAUCUUCGGACCUCACGCUAUCAGAUGAGCCUAGGUCGGAUUAGCUAGUUGGUGGGGUAAAGGCCUACCAAGGCGACGAUCCGUAACUGGUCUGAGAGGAUGAUCAGUCACACUGGAACUGAGACACGGUCCAGACUCCUACGGGAGGCAGCAGUGGGGAAUAUUGGACAAUGGGCGAAAGCCUGAUCCAGCCAUGCCGCGUGUGUGAAGAAGGUCUUCGGAUUGUAAAGCACUUUAAGUUGGGAGGAAGGGCAGUAAGUUAAUACCUUGCUGUUUUGACGUUACCAACAGAAUAAGCACCGGCUAACUUCGUGCCAG